GGGGGCGACUGGCUUCGACCGGGCAGGUUGAGGGCUGAGUGGCGCGCCGAGGUUGUCGGGAGGCCUCGUAAAUCACCCGGCAAAUGCUUUACAUGCCAACAAUGGCUACCGUCUGGCUGCCUAGAAAUAGGUAACCCGUUGACCCCGCGACGCCUGCUGGCGGGAGUUCAGCGACGACAAGCGGGCUGGCCUGCGCCUUGUAGUCACGUGGAGCGCGGGCGAGACAAAACGGGACUCGGAACCCGGAUGCCCUGUCGAUCGGGCUGCCGGCGACCUAAACUGAAAUAGAUCGAACACGCGCGUAGAGGCUUAGUCUGAAAUGCUUCGGGACGGGGGUUCGAUUCCCCCCGCCUCCAUGA
This 359-nucleotide transfer-messenger RNA is filed under the name Phycisphaerae. RNAcentral describes it as "DSPM01 sp020427345 Standard tmRNA". It matches the Rfam family "transfer-messenger RNA". From Rfam's summary of the family: Bacterial tmRNA, also known as 10Sa RNA or SsrA, is named for its dual tRNA and mRNA-like properties. Its role is to liberate the mRNA from a stalled ribosome. To accomplish this part of the tmRNA is used as a reading frame that ends in a translation stop signal. The record is from RNAcentral. Lineage: Bacteria; Pseudomonadati; Planctomycetota. RNAcentral also lists the same sequence under 1 other name.